AGAGUUUGAUCCUGCUCAGGAUGAACGCGGCGGCGCCUAUACAUGCAAGUGGAAUGGAUUAAGAGCUUGCUCUUAUGAAGUUAGCGGCGGACGGGUGAGUAACACGUGGGUAACCUGCCCAUAAGACUGGGAUAACUCCGGGAAACCGGGGCUAAUACCGGAUAACAUUUUGAACGCAUGGUUCGAAAUUGAAAGGCGGCUUCGGCUGUCACUUAUGGAUGGACCCGCGUCGCAUUAGCUAGUUGGUGAGGUAACGGCUCACCAAGGCAACGAUGCGUAGCCGACCUGAGAGGGUGAUCGGCCACACUGGGACUGAGACACGGCCCAGACUCCUACGGGAGGCAGCAGUAGGGAAUCUUCCGCAAUGGACGAAAGUCUGACGGAGCAACGCCGCGUGAGUGAUGAAGGCUUUCGGGUCGUAAAACUCUGUUGUUAGGGAAGAACAAGUGCUAGUUGAAUAAGCUGGCACCUUGACGGUACCUAACCAGAAAGCCACGGCUAACUACGUGCCAGCAGCCGCGGUAAUACGUAGGUGGCAAGCGUUAUCCGGAAUUAUUGGGCGUAAAGCGCGCGCAGGUGGUUUCUUAAGUCUGAUGUGAAAGCCCACGGCUCAACCGUGGAGGGUCAUUGGAAACUGGGAGACUUGAGUGCAGAAGAGGAAAGUGGAAUUCCAUGUGUAGCGGAAAUGCGUAGAGAUAUGGAGGAACACCAGGCGAAGGCGACUUCGUCUGUAACAC
This 737-nucleotide ribosomal RNA is filed under the name Bacillus cereus. RNAcentral describes it as "bacterial SSU rRNA". It matches the Rfam family "Bacterial small subunit ribosomal RNA", at positions 8 to 742 of the family's 1533-position model. Lineage: Bacteria; Bacillati; Bacillota; Bacilli; Caryophanales; Bacillaceae. The record is from RNAcentral.